RNAcentral lists this ribosomal RNA (334 nucleotides) under uncultured bacterium. RNAcentral's name for it is "bacterial SSU rRNA". It matches the Rfam family "Bacterial small subunit ribosomal RNA", at positions 568 to 898 of the family's 1533-position model. The record is from RNAcentral.
CUCGUAGGCGGUUUGAUAAGUCGGGUGUGAAACCUCCAGGCUCAACCUGGAGCCGCCACUCGAUACUGUCAUGACUAGAAUUCGGUAGGGGACCACGGAAUUCCUGGUGUAGCGGUGAAAUGCGCAGAUAUCAGGAGGAACACCAGCAGCGAAGGCGGUGGUCUGGGCCGACAUUGACGCUGAGGAGCGAAAGCGUGGGGAGCGAACAGGAUUAGAUACCCUGGUAGUCCACGCCGUAAACGUUGGGCACUAGGUGUGGGGACUAUUCAACGGUUUCCGUGCCGCAGCUAACGCAUUAAGUGCCCCGCCUGGGGAGUACGGCCGCAAGGCUAAA